Non-coding RNA from Zea mays, 118 nucleotides. The record is from Rfam. NCBI's taxonomy places the organism in Eukaryota, Viridiplantae, Streptophyta, Magnoliopsida, Poales, Poaceae.
AUCCCAGAUUAACUUGCUUAGCUGUUCUUCUGAUUCAUGGGAGGCCAAAAUCGGUGUUCCCUGGGAGUUCCGCUGAUAUUGGCUGGGAGGUGCUUUAUUAGUAACUCACCACACAAAC